GGGCCCGCACAAGCGGUGGAGCAUGUGGUUUAAUUCGAUGCAACGCGAAGAACCUUACCUACUCUUGACAUCCAGAGAACUUUCCAGAGAUGGAUUGGUGCCUUCGGGAACUCUGAGACAGGUGCUGCAUGGCUGUCGUCAGCUCGUGUUGUGAAAUGUUGGGUUAAGUCCCGCAACGAGCGCAACCCUUAUCCUUUGUUGCCAGCGGUUAGGCCGGGAACUCAAAGGAGACUGCCAGUGAUAAACUGGAGGAAGGUGGGGAUGACGUCAAGUCAUCAUGGCCCUUACGAGUAGGGCUACACACGUGCUACAAUGGCGCAUACAAAGAGAAGCGACCUCGCGAGAGCAAGCGGACCUCAUAAAGUGCGUCGUAGUCCGGAUUGGAGUCUGCAACUCGACUCCAUGAAGUCGGAAUCGCUAGUAAUCGUAGAUCAGAAUGCUACGGUGAAUACGUUCCCGGGCCUU
This 465-nucleotide ribosomal RNA is filed under the name uncultured bacterium. Its description in RNAcentral is "bacterial SSU rRNA". It matches the Rfam family "Bacterial small subunit ribosomal RNA", at positions 917 to 1382 of the family's 1533-position model. The record is from RNAcentral.